Molecule: ribosomal RNA, 603 nt
Filed under: uncultured fungus
Lineage: Eukaryota; Fungi
Description: eukaryotic LSU rRNA
Rfam family: Eukaryotic large subunit ribosomal RNA
Source: RNAcentral
ACCCGCUGAACUUAAGCAUAUCAAUAAGCGGAGGAAAAGAAACCAACAGGGGUUGCCCUAGUAACGGCGAGUGAAGCGGCAACAGCUCAAAUUUGAAAUCUGGCGUCUUUGGCGUCCGAGUUGUAAUUUGCAGAGGGCGCUUUGGCAUUGGCAGCGGUCCAAGUUCCUUGGAACAGGACGUCACAGAGGGUGAGAAUCCCGUACGUGGUCGCUAGCCUUUACCGUGUAAAGCCCCUUCGACGAGUCGAGUUGUUUGGGAAUGCAGCUCUAAAUGGGAGGUAAAUUUCUUCUAAAGCUAAAUACUGGCCAGAGACCGAUAGCGCACAAGUAGAGUGAUCGAAAGAUGAAAAGCACUUUGGAAAGAGAGUUAAAAAGCACGUGAAAUUGUUGAAAGGGAAGCGCUUGCAGCCAGACUUGCCUGUGGUUGCUCAUCCGGGUUUUUACCCGGUGCACUCUUCUAUAGGCAGGCCAGCAUCAGUUUGGGCGGUUGGAUAAAGGUCUCUGUCAUGUACCUCUCUUCGGGGAGAACUUAUAGGGGAGACGACAUGCAACCAGCCCGGACUGAGGUCCGCGCAUCUGCUAGGAUGCUGGCGUAAUGGCUGU